This 253-nucleotide ribosomal RNA is filed under the name uncultured bacterium. Its description in RNAcentral is "partial 16S ribosomal RNA". It matches the Rfam family "Bacterial small subunit ribosomal RNA", at positions 524 to 776 of the family's 1533-position model. The record is from RNAcentral.
UACGUAGGGCGCAAGCGUUGUCCGGAAUUAUUGGGCGUAAAGAGCUCGUAGGCGGCCUGUCGCGUCCGCUGUGAAAUCCUGGGGCUCAACCCCGGGCGUGCAGUGGAUACGGGCUGGCUGGAGGCAGGCAGGGGAGACUGGAAUUCCUGGUGUAGCGGUGAAAUGCGCAGAUAUCAGGAGGAACACCGGUGGCGAAGGCGGGUCUCUGGGCCGAAACUGACGCUGAGGAGCGAAAGCGUGGGGAGCAAACAGG